Non-coding RNA from Gossypium hirsutum (cotton), 138 nucleotides. NCBI's taxonomy places the organism in Eukaryota, Viridiplantae, Streptophyta, Magnoliopsida, Malvales, Malvaceae. The record is from Rfam.
UAUUAAAAAAUUCAUUCACUUCUAUUAUUAAAAAUUAGUGUGGCUGACACAGACAUUUACACAUGGCGUACUAUGUGUAUCUCAUCCUAACAUUCAAGGACCAAUUUUUAACCGGAAAAAUGGAUGAAAUUUUUAAUA